Molecule: ribosomal RNA, 253 nt
Filed under: uncultured bacterium
Lineage: Bacteria
Description: partial 16S ribosomal RNA
Rfam family: Bacterial small subunit ribosomal RNA
Source: RNAcentral
UACGUAGGGUGCAAGCGUUGUCCGGAAUUAUUGGGCGUAAAGAGCUUGUAGGCGGUUUGUCGCGUCUGCUGUGAAAUUUCGAGGCUCAACCCCGAACUUGCAGUGGGUACGGGCAGACUAGAGUGUGGUAGGGGAGACUGGAAUUCCUGGUGUAGCGGUGAAAUGCGCAGAUAUCAGGAGGAACACCGGUGGCGAAGGCGGGUCUCUGGGCCGAUACUGACGCUGAGGAGCGAAAGCGUGGGGAGCGAACAGG